RNAcentral lists this ribosomal RNA (497 nucleotides) under uncultured bacterium. RNAcentral's name for it is "partial 16S ribosomal RNA". It matches the Rfam family "Bacterial small subunit ribosomal RNA", at positions 28 to 507 of the family's 1533-position model. The record is from RNAcentral.
GAUGAACGCUGGCGGCGUGCCUAAUACAUGCAAGUCGAGCGAACAGAUGAGGAGCUUGCUCCUCUGACGUUAGCGGCGGACGGGUGAGUAACACGUGGAUAACCUCCCUAUAAGACUGGGAUAACUUCGGGAAACCGGAGCUAAUACCGGAUAAUAUAUUGAACCGCAUGGUUCAAUAGUCAAAGACGGUUUUGCUGUCACUUAUAGAUGGAUCCGCGCCGCAUUAGCUAGUUGGUAAGGUAACGGCUUACCAAGGCAACGAUGCGUAGCCGACCUGAGAGGGUGAUCGGCCACACUGGAACUGAGACACGGUCCAGACUCCUACGGGAGGCAGCAGUAGGGAAUCCUCCGCAAUGGGCGAAAGUCUGACGGAGCAACGCCGCGUGAGUGAUGAAGGACUGCGGAUCGGAAAACUCUGUUACUAGGGAAGAACAAAUGUGUAAGUAACUAUGCACGGAUUGACGGUACCUAAUCAGAAAGCCACGGCUAACUACGUG